GGCGGCGUGCUUACACAUGCAAGUCGAGUGCGCGUCUGUAGCAAUACAGAUGGCGCACGGCGCACGGGUGCGUAACACGUGGGUAAUCUGCCCUUCGAAGGGGAAUAACUCGCCGAAAGGCGAGCUAAUUCCGCAUAACAUUCCGGGGACCUUGGUUCUUGGAUUCAAAGGCGUAAGUCGUCGGAGGAGGAGCCCGCGCACGAUUAGCUAGUUGGUAGGGUAACGGCCUACCAAGGCUAUGAUCGUUAGCUGGUCUGAGAGGAUGGCCAGCCACACUGGAACUGAGACACGGUCCAGACUCCUACGGGAGGCAGCAGUGGGGAAUCUUGCACAAUGGGCGAAAGCCUGAUGCAGCGACGCCGCGUGGGGGAUGAAGCUUCUCGGAGUGUAAACCCCUUUCGACCCGGACGAAUGCCCCGCAAGGGGACUGACGGUACGGGUAUAAGAAGCCCCGGCUAACUACGUGCCAGCAGCCGCGGUAAGACGUAGGGGGCCAGCGUUGCUCGGAAUUACUGGGUGUAAAGGGUUCGUANGCGGUGUGGCAAGUCGGGAGUGAAAUCUCUAGGCUCAACCUAGAGUCUGCUUCCGAAACUGCUGUGCUUGA
RNAcentral lists this ribosomal RNA (604 nucleotides) under uncultured bacterium. Its description in RNAcentral is "bacterial SSU rRNA". It matches the Rfam family "Bacterial small subunit ribosomal RNA", at positions 38 to 645 of the family's 1533-position model. The record is from RNAcentral.